RNAcentral lists this ribosomal RNA (468 nucleotides) under uncultured bacterium. RNAcentral describes it as "partial 16S ribosomal RNA". It matches the Rfam family "Bacterial small subunit ribosomal RNA", at positions 28 to 507 of the family's 1533-position model. The record is from RNAcentral.
GACGAACGCUGGCGGCGUGCUUAACAAAUGACAGUCGAAGGGAAAGGCCCUGCUUUUGGGGGGUGCUCGAGUGGCGAACGGGUGAGUAACCCGUGAGUAACCUGCCCUUGACUUUGGGAUAACUUCAGGAAACUGGGGCUAAUACCGGAUAGGAGCUCCUGCUGCAUGGGGGGGGUUGGAAAGUUUCGGCGGUUGGGGAUGGACUCGCGGCUUAUCAGCUUGUUGGUGGGGUAGUGGCUUACCAAGGCUUUGACGGGUAGCCGGCCUGAGAGGGUGACCGGCCACAUUGGGACUGAGAUACGGCCCAGACUCCUACGGGAGGCAGCAGUGGGGAAUAUUGCACAAUGGGCGGAAGCCUGAUGCAGCAACGCCGCGUGCGGGAUGACGGCCUUCGGGUUGUAAACCGCUUUCGCCUGUGACGAAGCGUGAGUGACGGUAAUGGGUAAAGAAGCACCGGCUAACUACGUG